AUCCACCAGGUGGCGCAGCAUACCGCAAAACUCUCAACAGGAGGGGGCUAAAGGAGUACAAGACAGCUGAAGGGAAUACAGCAAUUGCUGACUGCAACCACGAUGCAGCUCAGCAGAAUGCAAAACUCUCGCAGAACGUGAUAAACCCACCCCCUUUUGCUGCUUUCCUCAAAGAGGAAUUUGGUACCCCAGAAAUUUGACCUCUGAGGAUUGGUCAGAGUUAGCUACCAUUAAGAUUAUUGCCCAAUACCUUAAUUUUACCCUUCUCCCAAUUUGCCUCUGAUAAUAAUCAGACAUAUGGUAAAAUAAAAUUGCUAAAAUUUUGUACCCUUUAGUCAGGUCAGAGGAUUGGAACUGUGCUUUGCCUUUGAUUACUUAUUUAUUUCAGGCAAUUGACUCUUGCUGUCUAUCUGUAAAAAGAAUAUAAUAGUACCUUCUUUGCAAGAUUAUUGUUAAGUAUUAAAUCAGUACAAAUGUCACCUUAGGUAGCUCUGUGUGUUGGCUGUUUUGAUGACUGAAAUGUGAUGGAAUUAUGAAUACUCAUGAGAGAAGGAAUGUUGAUGCAAACAGCAGAGACACGUUUGAAUUCUAAGAUCCUGAAGCCAUUUUCCUCUCUUGUUAGAUUUUUACAUUUAACUUCACAUCAUGAUUUAAAGUUAUUUUCUGGAAAGAAACUAAUCACAAUGCCAGAUGUCAAGACAGAAUAAUACAUGUUUACUGUCAUACAUUUCUUUCUUAAUAUUUGGAAAUUAAAAUUUCCAAGGUUUAGUUCUAAAGGCUUUUACCUUGAUUUCUGAAAUAUUUUGUAAACAGAAAAUCAGUUAGGUUUUCUCAAAGGGCAUGAUGUUUUACACAAAAGUAUAUCUUGGGUUGUCUGAGUCCAACCAAGAGGCUGCUCAAAAAGCAGGUUAGAAGAAAAUCCAUGUCUAAUUCCUCUAAUGAGUGGGUUAAGCAUUUGUCUCCAUAUUUAAAUGGUUGCAGACUUUGAGAAUAAAUUCAGAGAAUCAUCCCUCAUAGGGACAGAAAUGAAUGAAAAGAGUCUAGAAUUGAACAUGUCUCUCUUUCUAAAAUCACAAAUUGAAGACCUAGCUUUGUGGGAUGAAGAGGUUGAUCUAUUAAGGCUGAAUUUUCAGUGAUAUAAACUUUAGGGUGCCUUUCAGCAUCAAGUUGUGAAAGCCCUUUCUGGACAUUUUGCAGAAUGUUGGCGUACAGCCUGCCUGCUGAGAUCCCAGUGUGUGACCUGUUCCUGCCUGCAGCCAGAGGCAAACUCAGUGACCCACUGAGGCCACUGUCAACUGGCACAGACUGGAAAAUUGUUAAAUAAAUUGGUCAGAAACUGUCAAACCUAUUGCAUAAUCCAAACCUUAAAACCCGGACUGUAAAGUUUUCUCCUCAUGCCAGUCAUUCACACCUUUUGGAUUCAUUUUUUGAUCAGUUCAUCAGAAGAGUAUUUAUUGGUUCUCUAUGAGAUAUGCCCAGCACUGUGAUAAGUGCUACUUUAAAAUUUAUUUUUAAAACUAUAACUAAUGGGGAAAGAACUUGGGUGGUUCUCCAAGACACCCAGAGAUUAAGAUGACGUGUACUAUAAAUCCGUAACAAGUAAUAAUUUGCUUUAAAAAAAAUCAGAGACACGUUAACCACGUAGACAAUCUCCACCUUCAUCUUUCUGGAACUCUUCAGCUCCCAGAAAGUGACAGGGUGUUUCUACACCAAAGAGUAUGCACAUUGCCAUUUUUAGUUUCUUCCGUCAUACGGUAUACUCAUGGCCUCAGGGGAAAGACAUGUGACACUUCAAGUCACUUGAGAGUACAGCUGUCUUACUAUCACCAUCCCAUUGAGGCCAGUUUUGGCCCAGCCACAGCUGCUGGUGGAGCCCACGUGGGUGUAACUGUGUGGGGAGAGUCGUGAUACAGACAAGCCAACUGACACUGCAGAGGGGCCCUCAGGGCAGAUCACAGCCACAGCCCUUGGUGGCCCAUUUUAAAGUUGUAAAUGUAUGUAUAUGAUGAGAAUAAAUACAUAUCGGUGGUUGAUUAUGUGUGAAACAUAAAAGCAUAAAAAGGUUAAUUUUAUUAUUAUUUCCCCCCCUCAACUUUAUUGAAAUGUAACUGACAUACAUUGUGUGUGUUUAAGGGGUAUAGCAUGAUUACUUGAUACACGUAUAUACUGCAAAACGUUUACCACAAUCAGGUUAGUUGGCACAUCCUUUGCCUCCCAUAAUUACCUUUUUGUUGUUGUCGACAUGAUGAUGAAAACCUUUAAGGUCUCCUUUCUUAACAACUUUCAAGUGUACUAAACGGUAUUGUUAUCUGUAGUCACCAUACUGAACAUUAGAUCCUGGGAGCUGAUUCAUCUCAUAACAAGAAGUUUAUGCCCUUUGACCAACCUCUCCCAUUUCCCCCACCUCCUAGCUCUUGGCAGUCAGUAUUCUACCCUCUGUUUUUGUUUUUUAAGAUUCCACAUGUAAAUGAGAAAAUACAGCAUUUCUCUUUCUUGGUCUUAUUAUUGGAGUUCCGGUCGUGGCACAGUGGUUAACGGAUCCAACUAGGAAUCAUGAGGUUGUGGAUUCGGUCCCUGGCCUUGCUCAGUGGGUUAAGGAUCUAGCAUUGCCGUGAUCUGUGGUUUAGGUUGUAGAUGUGGCUCAGAUCCUGCGUUGCUGUGGCUCUGGCGUAGGCUGGCCUCUACAGCUCCGAUUCGACCCCUAGCCUGGGAACCUCCAUGUGGGAGCUGCCCUAGAAAAGG
This 2742-nucleotide long non-coding RNA is filed under the name Sus scrofa (pig). Its description in RNAcentral is "lncRNA (ENSSSCG00050040621.1)". Lineage: Eukaryota; Metazoa; Chordata; Mammalia; Artiodactyla; Suidae. The record is from RNAcentral.